RNAcentral lists this ribosomal RNA (182 nucleotides) under Staphylococcus aureus. RNAcentral's name for it is "partial 16S ribosomal RNA". It matches the Rfam family "Eukaryotic small subunit ribosomal RNA", at positions 1649 to 1828 of the family's 1831-position model. The record is from RNAcentral. Lineage: Bacteria; Bacillati; Bacillota; Bacilli; Caryophanales; Staphylococcaceae.
GUCCCUGCCCUUUGUACACACCGCCCGUCGCUACUACCGAUUGAAUGGCUCAGUGAGGCGUCCGGACUGGCCCAGAGAGGUGGGCAACUACCACUCAGGGCCGGAAAGCUCUCCAAACUCGGUCAUUUAGAGGAAGUAAAAGUCGUAACAAGGUCUCCGUUGGUGAACCAGCGGAGGGAUCA